This is a long non-coding RNA of Pseudophryne corroboree (corroboree frog), 475 nucleotides long. RefSeq lists it as uncharacterized. The transcript is spliced from 5 exons. NCBI's taxonomy places the organism in Eukaryota, Metazoa, Chordata, Amphibia, Anura, Myobatrachidae. The record is from RefSeq and is a predicted model, not a curated record.
UAGCUGCUUUGCAGAGCAGCGGGAGAUCAAAGGCUCCCCCGACUGCCCCCCGCCCGCGGGACAUUGUGACACGCGGGUAGGACAGGGACUGAAUAGCGCAACUGUCCGCUGGAAUCCCGACAGUUGGGAGGCUCCUUCCCGGAUAAGAACGAUGCUCCUCCGGAAGGACAGGACCAGCACCCCUGUAUUUUAACAACACCCCUGUAUUUUUACAGCAUACAAGCCAGGAUGUUGUUCAAGCUCGCACGGAUAAGAUCAAUCAAUGGUCCCGAUCCCUGAGCGUCUUCCUGAGCGGUUGGUUGCUGUAGCAUUCUGUGACUGUCUGGCAUGAGGGAAUCUUGCAGUGGCGUUGAUGGAACUUUUCUGUCUUCUUCACUUACUUUUGCUCUGCAUCAUUUUCUUCUGGGAAGCGGAUACAUCUGGAGAUGGAAGAAUGCAAUAAAAAAACAAUAAUAAAAAUACAGUUUACCAACAA